AUUCUAUUAGGUUGGUGCAAAAGUAAUUGUGGUUUUUGCCGUUACUUUCAAUUGCAAAAAUGGCAAUUACUUUUGCCUCAAUCUAAUACAUGU
This 93-nucleotide microRNA precursor is filed under the name Chlorocebus sabaeus (green monkey). RNAcentral's name for it is "miRNA (ENSCSAG00000020937.1)". Lineage: Eukaryota; Metazoa; Chordata; Mammalia; Primates; Cercopithecidae. The record is from RNAcentral.